GAUCCUGGCUCAGGACGAACGCUGGCGGCGUGCUUAACACAUGCAAGUCGAACGAUGAACCACUUCGGUGGGGAUUAGUGGCGAACGGGUGAGUAACACGUGGGCAAUCUGCCCUGCACUCUGGGACAAGCCCUGGAAACGGGGUCUAAUACCGGAUACUGACCACCUUGGGCAUCCAUGGUGGUCGAAAGCUCCGGCGGUGCAGGAUGAGCCCGCGGCCUAUCAGCUUGUUGGUGAGGUAGUGGCUCACCAAGGCGACGACGGGUAGCCGGCCUGAGAGGGCGACCGGCCACACUGGGACUGAGACACGGCCCAGACUCCUACGGGAGGCAGCAGUGGGGAAUAUUGCACAAUGGGCGAAAGCCUGAUGCAGCGACGCCGCGUGAGGGAUGACGGCCUUCGGGUUGUAAACCUCUUUCAGCNNGAAGAAGCGAAAGUGAC
RNAcentral lists this ribosomal RNA (441 nucleotides) under Streptomyces sp. 6LB12. Its description in RNAcentral is "bacterial SSU rRNA". It matches the Rfam family "Bacterial small subunit ribosomal RNA", at positions 15 to 459 of the family's 1533-position model. The record is from RNAcentral. Lineage: Bacteria; Bacillati; Actinomycetota; Actinomycetes; Kitasatosporales; Streptomycetaceae.